GUUCGCCAUUUAAAGUGGUACGCGAGCUGGGUUUAGAACGUCGUGAGACAGUUCGGUCCCUAUCUGCCGUGGGCGUUGGAAGAUUGAAGGGGGCUGCUCCUAGUACGAGAGGACCGGAGUGGACGAACCUCUGGUGUUCGGGUUGUGUCGCCAGACGCAUUGCCCGGUAGCUAAGUUCGGAAUCGAUAACCGCUGAAAGCAUCUAAGCGGGAAGCGAGCCCUGAGAUGAGUCUUCCCUGAUACUUUAAGUAUCCUAAAGGGUUGUCGGAGACUACGACGUUGAUAGGUCAGGUGUGUAAGUGCUGUGAGGCAUUGAGCUAACUGAUACUAAUUGCCCGUGAGGCUUAACCAUACAACACCCAAGGGGUUU
This 370-nucleotide ribosomal RNA is filed under the name Vibrio parahaemolyticus. Its description in RNAcentral is "partial 23S ribosomal RNA". It matches the Rfam family "Bacterial large subunit ribosomal RNA", at positions 2579 to 2925 of the family's 2925-position model. The record is from RNAcentral. Lineage: Bacteria; Pseudomonadati; Pseudomonadota; Gammaproteobacteria; Vibrionales; Vibrionaceae.